GGGCUGAGCCGCCGGAAGGCUGGGGCUAGGGAGAAGCCCACUGCAGUGUCACUCCAGCCCCUGAAGGCGUGUGCGCACACACUCCCGCACACACACACACCCGCACACACACUCCCGGGCGCGCGCUUGGGCGGGCACGUCUGCCUCGGCCGCGCCAAGCGCACACGCCCCACCCCGGCAGCGGCUCCUCGCCCCCGGCGACGCCCCCCACUUCCCGCUCCCCGAAAGCCAUUGGAUGUAGGGGUGGCGCGGCUCCCGUGGAGCGCGCGGCGAGGGCGACUCUCCCCGCGGCGCGCCGCAGACACCGCGCCACGGCAGGAAGGAGCAGGGAGCGCAGCGGACCGAGGCGCCCGGCCGGGAAGGCGCGCUGAGCCCCCGGCGUCCGGCCCAGGGCAGCAGGAGGUGGCCGCGGACUGGCCGGCGGGGAGGCGGGAGGCGGUGGGCGGCGGCGGGGAGCGAGCGGCGGGCGCGCAGCUACUUACUAGCUUGGCCGGCCCGCGGACGGGCGUGGAGACGGCCGCGGCGCGCUUGCUGGAGUUGCAGCCGGAGACACGCUUGGCUGCCUGGAAGGCGCUGCAGGAGGCGGAGGAAGGGCCGCUGCGGCCCCGCGACAGACCUCAGCCUCCAGGUCACCUCUUGUCACCGCUCCCACCCUGGCCUCUCCCUCCUCUUUUCUCACUUCAUUUUUUUCCUCCCGUCUCCUCCCGCGCCUGGUUCUCUCGCUUGAGCCCCGAACCCACGUCCCCGCCGCACUCCGAGGAGGCCCGUACCACCCAUGAGCCUUUUGUUCUGGGACCGCUCCCGGUCUGCUGCGCUUUCCCCGCCCGGGGAAGCUCGCUCCCCAAGCGCAGCUUAGUCCCUUCCCCAGCUACCUGCAGCCCGACUGGGGCCACUGGUCGAUGGCUGGAAAGGGGGCUGGAGGGAGGCAGGGCGGCCCCGGAGGAAAGCGGAGGUGCCAAGAUCCGGCAGCUCCAGGAAGCGGCGGCCCCAGGAGCCUGGGGACCCAGCUGGGCAGAUGCGAAGGGACCCAGACCUGUUCCCGGAAAGGGGCUAAACCUGGAGCAUUCAUCUCAUGCCCUCUCACUGCCCCCGCUUGAAACCCCACAGGGGUUUGUGGUGGGGCCUCAGUCUCCAGAAAAGCCAAGUGGUGCUGAGGUGCUCUUGAAUGGGUCACUCAGAGUAUCAAGAUGA
RNAcentral lists this long non-coding RNA (1191 nucleotides) under Callithrix jacchus (white-tufted-ear marmoset). Its description in RNAcentral is "lncRNA (ENSCJAG00000078262.1)". Lineage: Eukaryota; Metazoa; Chordata; Mammalia; Primates; Cebidae. The record is from RNAcentral.